GGCGGGAUAGCUCAGUAGGGAGAGCAACGGACUGAAAAUCCGUGUGUCCCCAGUUCAAUUCUGGGUCCCGCCACCA
This 76-nucleotide transfer RNA is filed under the name Synergistaceae bacterium. Its description in RNAcentral is "tRNA-Phe". It matches the Rfam family "tRNA". Rfam says of the family: Transfer RNA (tRNA) molecules are approximately 80 nucleotides in length. Their secondary structure includes four short double-helical elements and three loops (D, anti-codon, and T loops). Further hydrogen bonds mediate the characteristic L-shaped molecular structure. tRNAs have two regions of fundamental functional importance: the anti-codon, which is responsible for specific mRNA codon recognition, and the 3' end, to which the tRNAs corresponding amino acid is attached (by aminoacyl-tRNA synthetases). tRNAs cope with the degeneracy of the genetic code in two manners: having more than one tRNA (with a specific anti-codon) for a particular amino acid; and 'wobble' base-pairing, i.e. permitting non-standard base-pairing at the 3rd anti-codon position. Lineage: Bacteria; Thermotogati; Synergistota; Synergistia; Synergistales; Synergistaceae. The record is from RNAcentral.